Molecule: ribosomal RNA, 445 nt
Filed under: uncultured bacterium
Lineage: Bacteria
Description: SSU rRNA
Rfam family: Bacterial small subunit ribosomal RNA
Source: RNAcentral
AGAGCGAACGCUGGCGGCAGGCCUAACACAUGCAAGUCGAGCGCCGUAGCAAUACGGAGCGGCAGACGGGAGAGUAACACGUGGGAACGUGCCCUUUGGUUCGGAACAACACAGGGAAACUUGUGCUAAUACCGGAUAAGCCCUUACGGGGAAAGAUUUAUCGCCAAAGGAUCGGCCCGCGUCUGAUUAGCUAGUUGGUGAGGUAACGGCUCACCAAGGCGACGAUCAGUAGCUGGUCUGAGAGGAUGAUCAGCCUCACUGGGACUGAGACACGGCCCAGACUCCUACGGGAGGCAGCAGUGGGAAUAUUGGACAAUGGGCGCAAGCCUGAUCCAGCCAUGCCGCGUGGAUGAUGAAGGCCCUAGGGUUGUAAAGUCCUUUCGGCGGGGAAGAUAAUGACGGUACCCGCAGAAGAAGCCCCGGCUAACUUCGCGCCAGCAGCCGC